This 1372-nucleotide ribosomal RNA is filed under the name uncultured bacterium. RNAcentral's name for it is "bacterial SSU rRNA". It matches the Rfam family "Bacterial small subunit ribosomal RNA", at positions 28 to 1381 of the family's 1533-position model. The record is from RNAcentral.
GAUGAACGCUGGCGGCGUGCCUAAUACAUGCAAGUCGAGCGAACGGACGAGAAGCUUGCUUCUCUGAUGUUAGCGGCGGACGGGUGAGUAACACGUGGAUAACCUACCUAUAAGACUGGGAUAACUUCGGGAAACCGGAGCUAAUACCGGAUAAUAUUUUGAACCGCAUGGUUCAAAAGUGAAAGACGGUCUUGCUGUCACUUAUAGAUGGAUCCGCGCUGCAUUAGCUAGUUGGUAAGGUAACGGCUUACCAAGGCAACGAUGCAUAGCCGACCUGAGAGGGUGAUCGGCCACACUGGAACUGAGACACGGUCCAGACUCCUACGGGAGGCAGCAGUAGGGAAUCUUCCGCAAUGGGCGAAAGCCUGACGGAGCAACGCCGCGUGAGUGAUGAAGGUCUUCGGAUCGUAAAACUCUGUUAUUAGGGAAGAACAUAUGUGUAAGUAACUGUGCACAUCUUGACGGUACCUAAUCAGAAAGCCACGGCUAACUACGUGCCAGCAGCCGCGGUAAUACGUAGGUGGCAAGCGUUAUCCGGAAUUAUUGGGCGUAAAGCGCGCGUAGGCGGUUUUUUAAGUCUGAUGUGAAAGCCCACGGCUCAACCGUGGAGGGUCAUUGGAAACUGGAAAACUUGAGUGCAGAAGAGGAAAGUGGAAUUCCAUGUGUAGCGGUGAAAUGCGCAGAGAUAUGGGGAAACACCAGUGGCGAAGGCGACUUUCUGGUCUGUAACUGACGCUGAUGUGCGAAAGCGUGGGGAUCAAACAGGAUUAGAUACCCUGGUAGUCCACGCCGUAAACGAUGAGUGCUAAGUGUUAGGGGGUUUCCGCCCCUUAGUGCUGCAGCUAACGCAUUAAGCACUCCGCCUGGGGAGUACGACCGCAAGGUUGAAACUCAAAGGAAUUGACGGGGACCCGCACAAGCGGUGGAGCAUGUGGUUUAAUUCGAAGCAACGCGAAGAACCUUACCAAAUCUUGACAUCCUUUGACAACUCUAGAGAUAGAGCCUUCCCCUUCGGGGGACAAAGUGACAGGUGGUGCAUGGUUGUCGUCAGCUCGUGUCGUGAGAUGUUGGGUUAAGUCCCGCAACGAGCGCAACCCUUAAGCUUAGUUGCCAUCAUUAAGUUGGGCACUCUAAGUUGACUGCCGGUGACAAACCGGAGGAAGGUGGGGAUGACGUCAAAUCAUCAUGCCCCUUAUGAUUUGGGCUACACACGUGCUACAAUGGACAAUACAAAGGGCAGCGAAACCGCGAGGUCAAGCAAAUCCCAUAAAGUUGUUCUCAGUUCGGAUUGUAGUCUGCAACUCGACUACAUGAAGCUGGAAUCGCUAGUAAUCGUAGAUCAGCAUGCUACGGUGAAUACGUUCCCGGGUCU